RNAcentral lists this ribosomal RNA (581 nucleotides) under uncultured bacterium. RNAcentral's name for it is "partial 16S ribosomal RNA". It matches the Rfam family "Bacterial small subunit ribosomal RNA", at positions 355 to 931 of the family's 1533-position model. The record is from RNAcentral.
UGGGGAAUUUUGGACAAUGGGGGAAACCCUGAUCCAGCCAUCCCGCGUGUGCGAUGAAGGCCUUCGGGUUGUAAAGCACUUUUGGCAGGAAAGAAACGUCGCGGGUUAAUACCCCGCGGAACUGACGGUACCUGCAGAAUAAGCACCGGCUAACUACGUGCCAGCAGCCGCGGUAAUACGUAGGGUGCAAGCGUUAAUCGGAAUUACUGGGCGUAAAGCGUGCACAGGCGGUUCGGAAAGAAAGAUGUGAAAUCCCAGAGCUUAACUUUGGAACUGCAUUUUUAACUACCGGGCUAGAGUGUGUCAGAGGGAGGUGGAAUUCCGCGUGUAGCAGUGAAAUGCGUAGAUAUGCGGAGGAACACCGAUGGCGAAGGCAGCCUCCUGGGAUAACACUGACGCUCAUGCACGAAAAGCGUGGGGAGCAAACAGGAUUAGAUACCCUGGUAGUCCACGCCCUAAACGAUGUCAACUAGCUGUUGGGGUCUUCGGACCUUGGUAGCGCAGCUAACGCGUGAAGUUGACCGCCUGGGGAGUACGGUCGCAAGAUUAAAACUUAAAGGAAUUGACGGGGUGCAUAGCUG